CUAUUGAAAUUCUUCUUGUUUUCAUGUAGAUACUUCCAUUAAGGAGGUUAACAAUUUCUAUAAAUAGAGGUAGAUGUAGGGAGAGAGAAUGCAAGCAACUUGAGAGGAAUUAGAGAGUAGAGAGAAGAUUGGGAGUAGAGAGAAAAAAAUAUAUUAGUUUUUCCUAAGUAUUACCUCCUUGUAUUCUCAUAUUACAAGAGAGAUUAAUUGUUGUUAUCUUCUUGUAUUUAGAGAGUGUUGUAAUUCUCCUACUAUAGUGAAAUCCUCCUAUACUUGCCCGUGGACGUAGCCUAAAUUGGGUGAACCACGUAAAUACUUGUGUCCAUUUUCAGCUGCAGUUUCUCAAUUCCAUUUUGUUGUAAAGCCAAAGUCGACCCACGUUAUUUCUAAUAAAGAAGCUGUUACAGAUUAGGGACUCAAUCACACGUGUUGGAAAUGCUGUUUUUGUUGCUAAAAAUGUUCAUUCUUGUGCUGGAAAUGCUGAUUUUGGUGCUGGAAUUGCCUCUUUAUGUGUUGGAAAUGAUGUUCUUUGUCCAGGUAAUGCUGCUUUGGUACGGUCAUGUUGAUUUUAGUGCUGGGAAUGCAGAUCUUGGUGUUGGAAAUACUGAUUUUGUUGCUAAAAAUGCUGUAUCUUUUUCUCGAAAUGCUGAUAAUACUAAUUUUGUUGCUGUAAAUGCUGAUUCUGGUGUCUGAAAUGCUAUAUCUCUUGCUGGAAAUACUUAUUUUGUUGUUGGAAGUGCUGAAUCUUUUGUUGCAAGCUUGCUGACCAGCUGGGCUACUAAUGGCAGAUUCGAUGUCUCCCACACGUAUGAAUAUUUUGGGUCGAAGAGAGUAAAGGUUAUUUGGGCUAAAACAGUUUGGAACUCAUAUGUCACACCGAAGCAUGCAUUUAUUACAUGGUUAGCUAUCAACGACAAGCUAUUGACAAAGGAUAGACUAUACUUUCUAUAGAUUGACCAAAGGUGUAGCUUGUGUUCACAUGCGAAUGAGUCCUCUUUGCACCUAUUCUUUGCAUGCUCCUUCAGCAAGGUUGUUUGGGAUAAAAUUCGCAUAUGGGUAGGUCUUCGACAAUCUAUGUCUACACUUCAGAGAAAUGGAUUAAAAAGGAGGUUCGGGGGGACUACUUGGCACAGUAAGGUAAAAUGUAUUGCAUUUUUGACUACCAUCUAUCACAUUUGGAUGGGAAGAAAUAAGUUGAUUUUUGAGAACUUCAAUCGGAGUGUUGAUUGUCUUGUUUGAUGGAUCAAAACACACGCAUACAAAGUUAUGUUUUCUUUGUAUUCGAAUAUUUUGAGUCUCUUGUUUAUGAUCUUUAGGUCAUAUUUGAUAUUCUUUUGCCUAGAAAUGCCCAGAUGUAAAUGUUUAUCUAUGUUCAUUUGAUUUGCUUGGAAAUGUCCGGAUGUAUUUGUUUAUUUAUUUUGGAUGAUUUGCUCGGGUAUGUCCGGUAUACUUGUACAUGGUUUUGAUCAAU
RNAcentral lists this long non-coding RNA (1471 nucleotides) under Olea europaea subsp. europaea. The record is from RNAcentral. Lineage: Eukaryota; Viridiplantae; Streptophyta; Magnoliopsida; Lamiales; Oleaceae.